CAAAAGCGUAUAUUAAAGUUGUUGCAGUUAAAAAGCUCGUAGUUGAACCUUGGGCUUGGCUGGCCGGUCCAUCUUUUUUGAUGCGUACUGGACCCAGCCGUGCCUUUCCUUCUGGCUAGCCUUUUGGCGAACCAGGACUUUUACUUUGAAAAAAUUAGAGUGUUCAAAGCAGGCCUUUGCUCGAAUAUAUUAGCAUGGAAUAAUAGAAUAGGACGUUAUGGUUCUAUUUUGUUGGUUUCUAGGACCAUCGUAAUGAUUAAUAGGGACGGUCGGGGGUAUCAGUAUUCAGUUGUCAGAGGUGAAAUUCUUGGAUUUACUGAAGACUAACUACUGCGAAAGCAUUUACCAAGGACGUUUUCAUUAA
This 364-nucleotide ribosomal RNA is filed under the name uncultured eukaryote. RNAcentral's name for it is "partial 18S ribosomal RNA". It matches the Rfam family "Eukaryotic small subunit ribosomal RNA", at positions 592 to 976 of the family's 1831-position model. The record is from RNAcentral.